AGGCCUAACACAUGCAAGUCGAGCGGUAGCACAGAGAAGCUUGCUUCUUGGGUGACGAGCGGCGGACGGGUGAGUAACGCGUGGGAAUCUACCUGGUAGUGGGGGACAACAGUCGGAAACGACUGCUAAUACCGCAUACGCCCUUCGGGGGAAAGUGGGGGAUCUUCGGACCUCACGCUAUCAGAUGAGCCCGCGUCGGAUUAGCUUGUUGGUGAGGUAAAGACUCACCAAGGCGAUGAUCCGUAGCUGGUCUGAGAGGAUGACCAGCCACACUGGGACUGAGACACGGCCCAGACUCCUACGGGAGGCAGCAGUGGGGAAUAUUGGACAAUGGGGGCAACCCUGAUCCAGCCAUGCCGCGUGUGUGAAGAAGGCCUUCGGGUUGUAAAGCACUUUCAGCUGUGAGGAAAGGUGAGUGGUUAAUACCCGCUUGCUGUGACGUUAACAGCAGAAGAAGG
RNAcentral lists this ribosomal RNA (458 nucleotides) under uncultured Gammaproteobacteria bacterium. RNAcentral describes it as "bacterial SSU rRNA". It matches the Rfam family "Bacterial small subunit ribosomal RNA", at positions 44 to 491 of the family's 1533-position model. Lineage: Bacteria; Pseudomonadati; Pseudomonadota; Gammaproteobacteria. The record is from RNAcentral.